GAUGAACGCUGGCGGCGUGCCUAAUACAUGCAAGUCGAGCGAACGGACGAGAAGCUUGCUUUUCUGAUGUUAGCGGCGGACGUGUGAGUAACACGUGGAUAACCUACCUAUAAGACUGGGAUAACUUCGGGAAACCGGAGCUAAUACCGGAUAAUAUUUUGAACCGCAUGGUUCAAAAGUGAAAGACGGUCUUGCUGUCACUUAUAGAUGGAUCCGGGCUGCAUUAGCUAGUUGGUAAGGUAACGGCUUACCAAGGCAACGAUGCAUAGCCGACCUGAGAGGGGGAUCGGCCACACUGGAACUGAGACGCGGUCCAGACUCCUACGGGAGGCAGCAGUAGCGAAUCUUCCGCAAUGGGCGAAAGCCUGACGGAGCAACGCAGCGUGAGUGAUGAAGGUCCUCGGAUCGUAAAACUCUGUUAUGAGUGAAGAACAUAUGUGUAAGUAACUGUGCACAUCUUGACGGUACCUAAUCAGAAAGCCACGGCUAACUACGUG
Molecule: ribosomal RNA, 497 nt
Filed under: uncultured bacterium
Lineage: Bacteria
Description: partial 16S ribosomal RNA
Rfam family: Bacterial small subunit ribosomal RNA
Source: RNAcentral